GUAUAUUUUGCGUCAUUUAUUAAAUAUUUUUAUAUAUGCAUUUACAAACUUUAGUCGUUUCAGAACUCUUCUUUCAAUACAUUUUUAAACUUUUUUUUUUUCUGCAGAGUCUCUUGUAAAAUGAGAUCCAUGUACAAAACUAGACAACAGAUACAAAAGUUUCCUUUCAUACUUUCCAUCCACCCAGCAAAGAAAAAUCAUGUGACAAAACGUGACUCUUUCAGAUAACAGGUUGCUCUAAGCCCAUGAUCACAUCACCCUCUACCGCUUCCCUCAUAAACCUAAGGCUCGCUGCUGAUACACAUUGGUGACCAAUUCUUGGCCCAGAAGAUCAUAUUUCUAAUACCCGUAAUGGUGGAGCACUUGGGAACAGAACGGCACCGUAUUUCCCUCAUUUGGGGGUGUGUGGAGAAGGAUUGAAUUUUAUUUCUUUACCUGGUCCUUCAGUUCCGACAGCUGGCCAGAAAGAUUAGUG
Molecule: long non-coding RNA, 475 nt
Organism: Tupaia belangeri chinensis (Chinese tree shrew)
Lineage: Eukaryota; Metazoa; Chordata; Mammalia; Scandentia; Tupaiidae
Exons: 3
Source: RefSeq, a predicted model, not a curated record